CCGGGCGACCGGCGGACGGGUGCGUAACGCGUAUGUAACCUACCUUUGACAGGGGGAUAACAUCGAGAAAUUGGUACUAAUACCCCAUAACAUCACCGGAGGCAUCUUCGGUGGUUGAAAACUCAGGUGGUCAGAGAUGGACAUGCGUUGUAUUAGCUAGUUGGUGAGGUAACGGCUCACCAAGGCGACGAUACAUAGGGGGACUGAGAGGUCAACCCCCCACAUUGGUACUGAGACACGGACCAAACUCCUACGGAAGGCAGCAG
Molecule: ribosomal RNA, 266 nt
Filed under: uncultured bacterium
Lineage: Bacteria
Description: partial 16S ribosomal RNA
Rfam family: Bacterial small subunit ribosomal RNA
Source: RNAcentral